RNAcentral lists this ribosomal RNA (449 nucleotides) under uncultured bacterium. RNAcentral's name for it is "bacterial SSU rRNA". It matches the Rfam family "Bacterial small subunit ribosomal RNA", at positions 354 to 796 of the family's 1533-position model. The record is from RNAcentral.
GUGGGGAAUCUUGCGCAAUGGGCGAAAGCCUGACGCAGCGACGCCGCGUGCGGGAAGAAGGCCUUCGGGUUGUAAACCGCUUUCAGGGGGGACGAAGCCACUCGGGUGAAUAGCCCAGAGGGUGACGGUACUCCCAGAAGAAGCCCCGGCUAACUACGUGCCAGCAGCCGCGGUAAUACGUAGGGGGCAAGCGUUGUCCGGAUUUAUUGGGCGUAAAGAGCGUGUAGGCGGCCAGAUAGGUCCGCUGUGAAAACUCGAGGCUCAACCUCGAGCUGUCGGUGGAAACCAUCUGGCUAGAGUCCGGAAGAGGAGAGUGGAAUUCCCGGUGUAGCGGUGAAAUGCGCAGAUAUCGGGAAGAACACCCGUGGCGAAGGCGGCUCUCUGGGACGGUACUGACGCUGAGACGCGAAAGCGUGGGGAGCGAACAGGAUUAGAUACCCGGGUAGUCC